GAUGAACGCUAGCUACAGGCUUAACACAUGCAAGUCGCAGGGUAACAUGAGGAAAGCUUGCUUUCCUUGAUGACGACUGGCGCACGGGUGAGUAACGCGUAUCCAACCUUCCCAUAACUACGGGAUAACCCGUUGAAAGACGGCCUAAUACCGUAUGACAUCGUUUGCUGACAUCAAAUAACGAUUAAAGGUUUAGCGGUUAUGGAUGGGGAUGCGUCUGAUUAGCUUGUUGGCGGGGUAACGGCCCACCAAGGCGACGAUCAGUAGGGGUUCUGAGAGGAAGGUCCCCCACAUUGGAACUGAGACACGGUCCAAACUCCUACGGGAGGCAGCAGUGAGGAAUAGUGGUCAAUGGGCGAGAGCCUGAACCAGCCAAGUAGCGUGCAGGAUGACGGCCCUAUGGGUUGUAAACUGCUUUUAUGUGGGGAUAAAGUGCGUGACGUGUCAUGCAUUGCAGGUACCACAUGAAUAAGGACCGGCUAAUUCCGUG
This 490-nucleotide ribosomal RNA is filed under the name uncultured bacterium. Its description in RNAcentral is "partial 16S ribosomal RNA". It matches the Rfam family "Bacterial small subunit ribosomal RNA", at positions 28 to 507 of the family's 1533-position model. The record is from RNAcentral.